GUCCAGCUGACGAGUCCCGAAUAGGACGAAACGCGCGUCCUCGAU
This 45-nucleotide non-coding RNA is filed under the name Schistosoma mansoni. The record is from RNAcentral. Lineage: Eukaryota; Metazoa; Platyhelminthes; Trematoda; Strigeidida; Schistosomatidae.